UUUUCCUACGGAACGCAGCAGUGGGGAAUAUUGCACAAUGGGGGAAACCCUGAUGCAGCGACGCCGCGUGAAGGACGAAGUAUUUCGGUACGUAAACUUCUAUCAGCAGGGAAGAAAAUGACGGUACCUGACCAAGAAGUCCCGGCUAACUACGUGCCAGCAGCCGCGGUAAUACGUAGGGGGCAAGCGUUAUCCGGAUUUACUGGGUGUAAAGGGAGCGUAGACGGCCGUGCAAGUCUGAUGUGAAAACCCGGGGCUCAACCCCGGGACUGCAUUGGAAACUGCAUGACUGGAGUGUGGGAGAG
Molecule: ribosomal RNA, 305 nt
Filed under: uncultured bacterium
Lineage: Bacteria
Description: bacterial SSU rRNA
Rfam family: Bacterial small subunit ribosomal RNA
Source: RNAcentral